ACAAUGUCACAGAAAGUGUACUCCCUUUCGACACUUAGAAUAUAUUCCAAGUAACAAAAAAACCAAGAAAGGAAUAUCGGUUAUCUUCUUUAUCAGUGCAGUCACGUGAAUAUAUCCCACCAUCGUCCCCAGAUUUCGCUUUCCCUGUCCAUUAAAUUCCUCGUUGAAGAAGAAGAAGAAGAGGAGUUACCCACAGAGAGAGAGAGAGAGAGAGAGAUGGAGCCACCUCCGACCCAGGACAUUAGCAAGAGUUAUCCAGUGGCAGAGGACGAACAGGACAAAGCCAUCAACGAGUGUUGUUCCUGCUGCUAUGACUGCUCGGACAGCUGCUUCGACUACAUCUUCUGCAACCUUUGCUAGUCCAGAUGACAGAUGUGGAAGGCUUACUAUUGAUUUUGAUCUGCGGUUUCCUUUCAUUAGCAAAUAUUGUAGAACUCACUGAGAGAAAAAUCUGGUGCUAUUUAUUGGGUUCUCUCUGAACUGUUCUGCGAUGUUUAUGAAGCACUGGAUUUCAGACAGAUAGUAAUUUUUAUCUGGCUUGCUUUCUGAUGCGAGAAAUUCUCUGUUCUGUCAUCUUGUGUUUGAGAUGGCUCUAGUCCAUGGCCUUGAUGUUUUUUUUUUUUUUUUUUGGUCUAACAUGGUCUUGAUGUUGAAAGAAGAAGAAAAAUCAAAGCUAAAGGUUAAGGUCCAA
Rhodamnia argentea is the source of this 691-nucleotide long non-coding RNA. RefSeq lists it as uncharacterized. The transcript is spliced from 2 exons. The record is from RefSeq and is a predicted model, not a curated record. Lineage: Eukaryota; Viridiplantae; Streptophyta; Magnoliopsida; Myrtales; Myrtaceae.